CUCCAACUGCCACAAGACUCGGCCAUAUUCAGCAGCCACCGCAACGGCCAGGCUCAACUUGAUCUUCCAACCCAUCACGCUCCAGCGAACAUCGCGUCGUGCCGCAUCUCACGGCUUGGCCGUAUCUCACAGCAACAUUGACAUCUCGUCGUGCUCGCCGCGUCGCACGGCAGCCUGACAUCUCAUCUUCUCCGCGUGCCUCCGCUGAAGCUUCACCGCACUAGCUACUCUCUAACCUAUCCUACAUGCACAACGAAAGCAAACUAAAUAUGCAGAUACAUGGAAUCAAGAUUAAGUCUAACAUUCACCCCCUAAUCUUGAUUCUCCUAUCAUCAACGCACAUCCCGUGCACCUUGCCGUGGACGACGCCGUCGCAGCGCCGGACACCCCCAUGCACCAUCUUGUCGUGGUCGACGCCAUCGCAGCGCCGGACACCACCAUGCACCAUCUUGUCGUGGUCGACGCCGUCGCAGCGCCGGACACCACCAUGCACCAUCUUGUCGUGGUCGACACCUUCGCAGCGCCGGACACCAUCAUGCACCAUCUUAUCGUGGUCGACGCCGUCGCAGCGCCCAUCACCACAUCGUCCUGCUGCACGCAGCGGCCACCUCAUGACGUGGACGACGCCUUCACAACGCCGAUCACCACGCCGUCGCAACGACCCAUCUUGCUGACGGCAUCACACCACCCUAGACAGCAUCGUCGACGAGCUUGACGCCGAUCCUUAUGACGGCUUCGCGCCGCCGUACCUCCCAACGGCGUCACACCGUUGUCUUCUUGUGGCAGCUUCACGCCGCCAUCUCCAACUAGCGGCAUCACACCGCAACCGGCCAUCAGCGGCAUCGCACCGCCGACGACCUCCACCUCACGCCCAUGUCCUCCACCUCACAUGGAGUCUGCCAAGUCGCCGCCGCCGCGGCCAGUCGCCCCCGCCACCGCCACGCCGGCCACCAUAGCCGCCAGCACCACCGUCGCCGCCACGGAUCAACAAGGCUCUGAUGCCAAAUGUUGUGCCGCUUCUUCUUCUACCCCUCGUUGUCUCUCACAACUCUCUCCUCUCUCAAGCGAACAAGAUCGCACACUUGGAAGGAACACACACACACCUCACCGUGGAGGAACCAGCUUUGCUUUGUUCUCCCGGUCAGACACACAUAUGCUACAUCCUUUCUCCUCAGCCCUCUCGGCCUCACUCCUUUCACUACUCCGAUGCAAGAUAUAUAUACACAUAGCCAGGGGCUAAUGGCCUGAUGCAAAUCCCAUGCACACGCACGCACACAUAGCCCGGCCGGCAUACUCGCCACUAACCGCACCACCUCCUUGCAUGCAGUAAGCCACUAACUAACUAACCCAUAUCUACAUGCACGUCCUAACUGGGCUUAUCUUACUCCUUGCUGGAAUCACUCCAACUGCCACAAGACUCGGCCAUAUUCAGCAGCGACCGCGACGGCCAGGCUCAACUUGAUCUUGCAACCCAUCACGCUCCAGCGACCAUCGCGGCGUGCCGCAUCUCACGGCUUGGCCGUAUCUCACAGCAACAUCAACAUCUCGUCGUGCUCGCCGCGUCGCACGGCAACCUGACAUCUCAUCUUCUCCGCAUGCCUCGGCUGAAGCUUCACCGGACUAGCUACUCUCUAACCUAUCCUACAUGCACAACGAAAGCAAACUAAAU
Molecule: long non-coding RNA, 1669 nt
Filed under: Triticum aestivum (bread wheat)
Lineage: Eukaryota; Viridiplantae; Streptophyta; Magnoliopsida; Poales; Poaceae
Description: long non-coding RNA (TAES_LNC012558)
Source: RNAcentral